CUUAAUUUGGGAUUUUUUUGGUGAAUUUCUUUAAAUUUGUGAAUUUUUGUCUCAAUUUUCACAGAUUUUCGUAAUUUUUUCCGGAAUUUUCUCCCUUUUCCCCCCCAGGUCGCCGAAUCCCAGGGCCUCCCCCCGGAAUCUCUCGGCCCCGCCCCCUUUUCCGCCCUUCCGGAACAUUCCGACCCCGAAUCCCAAAUCCGGCACUUCCGGGGCCGCCUCGGGGGGGUCCUCAAGGAGCUCCAGGGGGCGGAGCCUGACCCCAAAGGGGGCGGAGCCUCCCUCGGGCCGUUCUCAUUGGCCGAAGCCGCGUGGGCGUGGCUGGAGGGGGAGGGGCAGCCGGACCGCGCCCGCCGCGUUCUGAUUUUUACUGGUGUGAAACAGCUGCAGCUCCUGGCGUGCCUCAGUUUCCCCGAACGCGCGGCGGCGCUGCGGCGCAAUGGCGGCGGCCAAUGGGAGGCGCUGCAGGAGCUGCAAUGGCGGAGGCUCCGCCCCUUCCGAUUACGUCAUCAGCAGGGGGCGGAGCCUGCGCUGGACUUCCUGCGGGUUCCCCCUCAGGCCCUCGUCCGGCAGAUUUUGGCCACCCUCCCCGUGGCCAGUUGGGGUCGGGCCUUACUGGUGGCCAGUUUGGGUCGUGAACUGGGACUGGGGCUGGUGGCGGCUCCCAGUUCGGAUCCUUUACUGGUUGAACUGGUGGAGGCCGUGGGGUCCUGUCCGGACAGGGCUGCCCUGCGCAGGCGCCUGCGCUGCGAGUGCGCCGUCUGCGGCUGGGGGCUGCCCCGGCAACUGGUUUGUACUGGUUUGUACUGGUUUGGGGUUUGGGGUUACUGGUUUGUACUGGGAGGGAACUGGGAUGAACUGGGAGGGGAUUUGGGGGCACUGGGAGGGAGUUAAAGGGUUAAAAAUUGGGGAAAAUGGGGGAAAAAUGCAGAAAAUUGGGAUUUUUUUAUACUGGUUUAUACUGGUUUAUACUGGUUUGGGGUUUGGGGUUACUGGUUUGGGACUGGGAGGGACUGGGAGGGGGUUUGGGGGUACUGGGAGGGAGUUAAAGGGUUAAAAAUGGGGGAAAAAUUGGGAAAAUUGGGAUUUUUUAUACUGGUUUAUACUGGUUUUACACUGGUUUGUACUGGUUUGUACUGGUUUGGGGUUUGGGGUUACUGGUUUGGACUGGUUUGGGGUUUGAGGUUACUGGUUUGUACUGGUUUAUACUGGGAGGGACUGGGAGGGACUGGGAGGGGGUUGGGGGGCACUGGGAGGGAGUUAAAGGGUUAAAAAUGGGAUUAAAAUAGGGGAUAAAUUGGAAAAAUUGGGAUUUUUUUAUACUGGUUUGUACUGGUUUAUACUGGUUUGGGGUUUGGGGUUACUGGUUUGGACUGGUUUGGGGUUUGAGGUUACUGGUUUGUACUGGUUUAUACUGGGAGGGAACUGGGAGGGACUGGGAGGGAGUUAAAGGGUUAAAAAUGGGAUAAAAUGGGGGAAAAAUUGGAAAAUUUGGGAUUUUAUAUACUGGUUUAUACUGGUUUGUACUGGUUUAUACUGGUUUAUACUGGUUUAUACUGGUUUAUACUGGUGUGGGGCUACUGGGAUGAACUGGGAUGAACUGGGAGAGGAUUUAACAUUAAUUUAACCUUACUGGUUUAUACUGGUUCCUUACUGGUUUAUACUGGUUUAUACUGGUUUAUAGUGAAUGUGGGGCUACUGGGGCCUUACUGGGAUGAACUGGGAUGAACUGGGAU
RNAcentral lists this long non-coding RNA (1733 nucleotides) under Taeniopygia guttata (zebra finch). RNAcentral describes it as "lncRNA (ENSTGUG00000025997.1)". Lineage: Eukaryota; Metazoa; Chordata; Aves; Passeriformes; Estrildidae. The record is from RNAcentral.